This 497-nucleotide ribosomal RNA is filed under the name uncultured bacterium. RNAcentral describes it as "partial 16S ribosomal RNA". It matches the Rfam family "Bacterial small subunit ribosomal RNA", at positions 28 to 507 of the family's 1533-position model. The record is from RNAcentral.
GAUGAACGCUGGCGGCGUGCCUAAUACAUGCAAGUCGAGCGAACAGACGAGGAGCUUGCUCCUCUGACGUUAGCGGCGGACGGGUGAGUAACACGUGGAUAACCUACCUAUAAGACUAGGAUAACUUCGGGAAACCGGAGCUAAUACCGGAUAACAUGUUGAACCGCAUGGUUCAACAGUGAAAGACGGUCUUGCUGUCACUUAUAGAUGGAUCCGCGCCGCAUUAGCUAGUUGGUAAGGUAACGGCUUACCAAGGCAACGAUGCGUAGCCGACCUGAGAGGGUGAUCGGCCACACUGGAACUGAGACACGGUCCAGACUCCUACGGGAGGCAGCAGUAGGGAAUCUUCCGCAAUGGGCGAAAUCCUGACGGAGCAACGCCGCGUGAGUGAAGAAGGUCUUCGGAUCGUAAAACUCUGUUAUUAGGGAAGAACAAAUGUGUAAGUAACUAUGCACGUCUUGACGGUACCUAAUCAGAAAGCCACGGCUAACUACGUG